GUACAGAGUGAAAUAAAUAUAAUUACACGUGGGAAGAAAAAGAAAACAGCGUGAAAAAGCGAGGAAAAUGGAAUUGGAUUACGUAUAAACAUGCGGGUGAUUUUUCAGACAGACACAGGAAAGUGAAAUAUCUGUGAGGCGAUUUGGUGAAUAGAGAGAAAGCGGUCAUAACAAAAACGUAAAUAUAGAAUAUAGUAUACAGAGUAUAUAUAGACGACAGGAUGACAUUAAUUCUCCAGAAUAUAUUUACAAGAGCAGUACAAAGAAUAACUUGAUAUUACACAUAUAUAUAUAUUCGUUACAUAGACUAACGAGUAGUAGGUAUAAGCAGGUGAACAGUUUAAAUAUUAAUUGAGGCACGUGAUAAUAAGGCAUUUCUACAGAGGAUAGACACGGUCGUACGCACGUAAGAUAGAGCAUUCCAAAAAGUUAAAAAAAAAAGAAAUAUUAUGUCUACGCUAUUUCUACAGAAUUUACGAUAUAGUCAAAUAAUAUAGUUAUAUUCCUUGAUUUUUAUGGAAAUAGAAUUCUCUCUCCUAUUUUCUCCCUGCGAAUAAUUGCUUAGGAAAUUUUUUUUAACUUAAUCUAUAUAAUACUACACAAAGAUAUUUUUAACAAGAGAUUCUAUGCCUCCCCAACAUAUAGAGAUUGCUUUACAUCAGUUAAAUAGAAUUCAAAUCAAUAAGCUGUGUUAAAGUUGAACUAGUGAAUUGUUAUCCUUUUGUACAUCAUAGUACUAACUACAAUAAAAA
This is a long non-coding RNA of Formica exsecta, 752 nucleotides long. RefSeq lists it as uncharacterized. Lineage: Eukaryota; Metazoa; Arthropoda; Insecta; Hymenoptera; Formicidae. The record is from RefSeq and is a predicted model, not a curated record. The transcript is spliced from 2 exons.